AGCAGUCGCCGCGGUAAUACGUAGGUGGCAAGCGUUGUCCGGAAUUAUUGGGCGUAAAGGGCUCGCAGGCGGUUUCUUAAGUCUGAUGUGAAAGCCCCCGGCUCAACCGGGGAGGGUCAUUGGAAACUGGGAAACUUGAGUGCAGAAGAGGAGAGUGGAAUUCCACGUGUAGCGGUGAAAUGCGUAGAGAUGUGGAGGAACACCAGUGGCGAAGGCGACUCUCUGGUCUGUAACUGACGCUGAGGAGCGAAAGCGUGGGGAGCGAACAGGAUUAGAUACCCCGUAGUCCCUGUCUCUUAUACA
This 303-nucleotide ribosomal RNA is filed under the name uncultured bacterium. RNAcentral's name for it is "partial 16S ribosomal RNA". It matches the Rfam family "Bacterial small subunit ribosomal RNA", at positions 507 to 808 of the family's 1533-position model. The record is from RNAcentral.